GAAUGUGAUGGUUAUCUGGCUCAUUGAUUAUAGGAUUGAUUAUACUGGCUGAGUCAAUGCCUCCUUUCUUCCUUGUUCUAGGUAUAUCUCCAGACUCUAUUGGUUGAACAGGAUGACUUUCCCUGUAUAGAGUUGGAUAUUCAUCAGUUAAUGGUAUACGCAUAGCUGUGUUAACCUGCUAGAACUUCCAAAUAAACCCUCAUAACUGGUUUUAGAGUACCUUUGUAUUUAUCAGAAUCUUAUAGAAAA
Molecule: small nuclear RNA, 249 nt
Filed under: Erinaceus europaeus (western European hedgehog)
Lineage: Eukaryota; Metazoa; Chordata; Mammalia; Eulipotyphla; Erinaceidae
Description: 7SK RNA
Rfam family: 7SK RNA
About the family: 7SK was discovered as an abundant small nuclear RNA in the mid-70s but a possible function has only recently been suggested.
Source: Rfam by way of RNAcentral